This 32-nucleotide non-coding RNA is filed under the name Geobacter sulfurreducens KN400. Lineage: Bacteria; Pseudomonadati; Thermodesulfobacteriota; Desulfuromonadia; Geobacterales; Geobacteraceae. The record is from RNAcentral.
GAGACCGUUGACGCAGCCCUGGCCAUGGAGCG